GAUGAACGCUGGCGGCGUGCUUAACACAUGCAAGUCGAACGAAGCAUUUGCGACAGAUUUUUUCGGAAUGAAGUUGCUUAUGACUGAGUGGCGGACGGGUGAGUAACGCGUGGGUAACCUGCCUUGUACUGGGGGAUAGCAGCUGGAAACGGCUGGUAAUACCGCAUAAGCGCACAAUGUUGCAUGACAUGGUGUGAAAAACUCCGGUGGUAUAAGAUGGACCCGCGUCUGAUUAGCUAGUUGGUGAGAUAACAGCCCACCAAGGCGACGAUCAGUAGCCGACCUGAGAGGGUGACCGGCCACAUUGGGACUGAGACACGGCACAGACUCCUACGGGAGGCAGCAGUGGGGAAUAUUGCACAAUGGAGGAAACUCUGAUGCAGCGACGCCGCGUGAGUGAAGAAGUAAUUCGUUAUGUAAAGCUCUAUCAGCAGGGAAGAUAGUGACGGUACCUGACUAAGAAGCUCCGGCUAAAUACGUG
RNAcentral lists this ribosomal RNA (481 nucleotides) under uncultured bacterium. RNAcentral describes it as "partial 16S ribosomal RNA". It matches the Rfam family "Bacterial small subunit ribosomal RNA", at positions 28 to 507 of the family's 1533-position model. The record is from RNAcentral.